GUAGGGAAUAUUGCGCAAUGGACGAAAGUCUGACGCAGCGACGCCGCGUGAGUGAUGAAGGACUUAGGGUCGUAAAGCUCUGUUGAAUGGGAAGAAAAAAAUGACGGUACCAUUCGAGGAAGGACCGGCUAACUUCGUGCCAGCAGCCGCGGUAAUACGAGGGGUCCUAGCGUUGUUCGGAAUCAUUGGGCGUAAAGGGUGUGUAGGUGGCCAUGUAAGUCAGGUGUGAAAGCCCCGGGCUCAACCCGGGAAGUGCCCUUGAUACUGCGUGGCUUGAGUACCGAAGAGGGUAGUGGAAUUCCAGGUGUAGUGGUGAAAUACGUAGAUAUCUGGAGGAACACCGGUGGCGAAGGCGGCUACCUGGUCGAGUACUGACACUGAGACACGAAAGCAUGGGGAUCAAACAGGAUUAGAAACCCCGGUAGUCC
RNAcentral lists this ribosomal RNA (428 nucleotides) under uncultured bacterium. Its description in RNAcentral is "bacterial SSU rRNA". It matches the Rfam family "Bacterial small subunit ribosomal RNA", at positions 354 to 796 of the family's 1533-position model. The record is from RNAcentral.